Molecule: ribosomal RNA, 497 nt
Filed under: uncultured bacterium
Lineage: Bacteria
Description: partial 16S ribosomal RNA
Rfam family: Bacterial small subunit ribosomal RNA
Source: RNAcentral
GAUGAACGCUGGCGGCGUGCCUAAUACAUGCAAGUCGAGCGAACGGACGAGAAGCUUGCUUCUCUGAUGUUAGCGGCGGACGGGUGAGUAACACGUGGAUAACCUACCUAUAAGACUGGGAUAACUUCGGGAAACCGGAGCUAAUACCGGAUGAUAUUUUGAACCGCAUGGUUCAAAAGUGAAAGACGGUCUUGCUGUCACUUAUAGAUGGAUCCGCGCUGCAUUAGCUAGUUGUUAAGGUAACGGCUUACCAAGGCAACGAUGCAUAGCCGACCUGAGAGGGUGAUCGGCCACACUGGAACUGAGACACGGUCCAGACUCCUACGGGAGGCAGCAGUAGGGAAUCUUCCGCAAUGGGCGAAAGCCUGACGGAGCAGCGCCGCGUGAGUGAUGAAGGUCUUCGGAUCGUAAAACUCUGUUAUUAGGGAAGAACAUAUGUGUAAGUAACUGUGCACAUCUUGACGGUACCUAAUCAGAAAGCCACGGCUAACUACGUG